This 2747-nucleotide long non-coding RNA is filed under the name Paramuricea clavata. Lineage: Eukaryota; Metazoa; Cnidaria; Anthozoa; Malacalcyonacea; Plexauridae. The record is from RNAcentral.
UCGGGGGCGGCGCUCAAACGAGUAAAUACGGUAUGAGUGAAUUUGUUCUUGGCGGGAAAUUUCCCAAUUCCCGCCUGGCUUUUGUGACGACUUUGUUUAUUUGCUUGAAGGUGAACACUUUAUUUUGUCGCUUAUAAAUAUCGGGACUGUCAGAACAUUAGCAGAAAAAUAAUGAAAACGAAGAUGUAACAGGUGAGUGGUUAUAAUUCUGUAUAUGAGAGUUAAUUUUGAACGGUCUCAGUGUAGACUAUUAGUGGCAAUAAUAGCAAAACUUCCCGGUUGAUAGGAAUGGAAGUGCGUGCAAAAUACAAGGGAAAUUCGACGUUUCGAGCGAAGGUCCUUCGUCUGGGAGUUAGUAGGCAAACUUUUCGACGAAGAACUAACUUCCCGACGAACUAACUUCGCUCGAAACGUCGAAUUUCUCCCUGUAUUUUUCAAGUACAUCACUAUCAGCCAUUUUGUUAUAUUAGAGUUACCAUCUAGCGCAAACAUGGCUUCCACAUUUAUAGUGAAAUAUAAAACAUGAAAUACAGACUGAUUGGUUUGGCAGAACAAAUCGCUGCGACAAAGAUGUAUUAGUUUUCUCCAUUCAAACGAGUCCAUCUCUUCCCAUGAGGGUGGAUUAAUUUAAUUUUUCGUUCAUGUUAUUGCUUUUGUUCUCCAGUGUCUGUCGCGAAAUCUCGCAGACUCGCACAUCAAUAUUUUUUAUUUUUCUAAAGUGGAAACACCACAUGAAUUCUUUCUGGCGCCAUAUUUUGAUACUCGUGUUGUUUGCAAACUGUGUCUGAAUAUUCUCAUUUUUAUGAUCAGAAAUUCUGUAGAACCGAAGUAUUAAAAAGAUUCAAUAAAGAAAGACUCGAGGGAACAGUUGGGUCACUUGGGUGAUAUUUUUAAUCCAAAUUUGAGUGCGCGUCUGAGCAUACGUGGGACUAUUAAAGAUCAGAAGCUGAAAGCCUGAGACCAUGUCUAGGAAAUGUGAUGUUUGUAACAAGGUAUUUUCACACAGAAGCUCUUUGCUAAAACAUAAAAGAACACACACUGGAGACAAACCUUAUGAAUGUGAUGUUUGUAACAAAAGAUUUUUGCGAUCAGACGUGUUAGCGGUUCAUAAGAGAAUACACACUGGAGAGAAACCUUAUGAAUGUGAUGUUUGCAACAAAAGAUUUUUACACUCAAGCCACUUAGCAGUUCAUAAGGCAACACACACUGGAGACAAACCUUUUCAAUGUGAUGUUUGCAACAAAAGAUUUUUGCGAUCAUACGCGUUAGCGGUUCAUAAAAGAACACACACUGGAAACAAACCUUAUGAAUGUGAUGUUUGCAACAAAAGAUUUUCGCAGUCAGGUCAAUUAACUGUACAUAAGAAAACACACACUGGAGACAAACCUUAUGAAUGUGAUGUUUGCAAAAAACAAUUUGUGCAAGCAUGCACCUUAGCUGCCCACAAGAGAACACACACUGGAGAGAAACCUUAUGAAUGUGAUAUUUGCAACAAGAGAUUUUCACAAUCGAGCAACUUAACUACCCAUAAAAAAACACAUACCAGAGAGAAACCUUAUGAAUGUCACGUUUGCAACAAGAGAUUUUCAGAAUCACACAAAUUAACACAACAUAAAGUAUCAGCACACAAGAGAAAUGAGAACUUUGAGUGCGGUAUCUGCAAAAAAACAUUCACACAACGACAAAGUUUCAAACGUCACUGGAGAUCACACUUGAGAGAUGGCUUAUUAUUGUGCCACACCUGUGGCAAAGAAAUUAUUCGAGAUCAAGGACAUGCUACUGAGAUACUGAGUGAUGAUCCUUUUCUCUGUGGCAAAUGCAACAAACAGUUCCCUGAUAUUGAAAGUUUAUAUCAGCACAAGGCCAAAGACCAUGGUACAUCCUACCAAUGUGAUAUUUGUAAGGAAUUAGAAGCAAGAGAAGCAACUGGUAUUGGUUAUAUCUGUUGUGUCUGUGAUGCCGAGUUUGAAAUUGCCACUGAACUUGAAGAUCAUAUGAGUAUGCAUGACAAUGUGCUGCCUCACUAGCUAGGCAACAUAAAUUGACACUAUUUUGAGCAAUACGUUCUUUUUCAAAUUUAUCUUGAAAUCAGUUUGGGAUUGUUUACUGUCAUUCCAAUUGAAGUGUUGCUCAAAUAUUGAUUCAAUUUCAUCAAUUCAUUUCAUCAAGUUCCUCGAGAUAUUCAUACCUGUUGAAUACUUUGAAUGCGCCAAUCACCUUUGUUGUUUGUGCCACUAACCAAUCAUAAAUAGAAAGGAAUUAAUUAAGUGACCAGAAAUGAUCAAAUACUUGGAAUUGGCUCUUUCACAGGAAGUGCAUGAAUAUCUCGAGGAACUUGAUCAGAUGAAUUGGUCAGCCCAAGGUAAUGUAUUGAAUCAAUAUUUGAGCAACACUUCAAUUGGAACGACAGUAAAUUGUUUGAUUUGUUUUGUGAUUGUUUUUAUUCUUUUUAAAUACAGUAUAAACUGUUCCGUACAUAAAAUGGCAUCGAUAUUUGGUGAUGAUUCACGCCUGUUGAUUGAGGGAUCCAUUUAUCAACUGAGAUCAUUUUGUAAUUAUCGGUUGUUUUUCGUUGGAAAUUUAUUAAGUUUGGAUUAUUUAUAGUGUAAUGAAAUGAUUAUUACAUUUUUAUAGUGAUAUUGCUUCAUUUUAUUACUGAUGGCAAUAUUAUAUAUUGUAAAGUUACUGUAUUCGCCCUAUUAAGCCGUCUUGAAAUAUUAAAGGCCCCCUCUCUAAUAACCGCCUCC